GAUGAACGCUGGCGGCGUGCCUAAUACAUGCAAGUCGAGCGAACAGACGAGGAGCUUGCUCCUCUGACGUUAGCGGCGGACGGGUGAGUAACACGUGGAUAACCUACCUAUAAGACUGGGAUAACUUCGGGAAACCGGAGCUAAUACCGGAUAACAUGUUGAACCGCAUGGUUCAACAGUGAAAGACGGUCUUGCUGUCACUUAUAGAUGGAUCCGCGCCGCAUUAGCUAGUUGGUAAGGUAACGGCUUACCAAGGCAACGAUGCGUAGCCGACCUGAGAGGGGGAAUCGGCCCCCGGGAACGUGGCCCACGUUCAGACCUCUGAGGGUGGCAGCAGUAGGGAAUCUUCCGCAAUGGGCGAAAGCCUGACGGAGCAACGCCGCGUGAGUGAAGAAGGUCUUCGGAUCGUAAAACUCUGUUAUUAGGGAAGAACAAAUGUGUAAGUAACUAUGCACGUCUUGACGGUACCUAAUCAGAAAGCCACGGCUAACUACGUG
This 497-nucleotide ribosomal RNA is filed under the name uncultured bacterium. Its description in RNAcentral is "partial 16S ribosomal RNA". It matches the Rfam family "Bacterial small subunit ribosomal RNA", at positions 28 to 507 of the family's 1533-position model. The record is from RNAcentral.